Molecule: ribosomal RNA, 517 nt
Filed under: uncultured Glomus
Lineage: Eukaryota; Fungi; Glomeromycota; Glomeromycetes; Glomerales; Glomeraceae
Description: SSU rRNA
Rfam family: Eukaryotic small subunit ribosomal RNA
Source: RNAcentral
CAGCCGCGGUAAUUCCAGCUCCAAUAGCGUAUNUUAAAGUUGCUGCAGUUAAAAGCUCGUAGUUGAAUUUCGGGACCAUCAUGUCGGUCGUGCCUCGGUACGAACUGGUAUUGUUGGUUUCUCCCUUCUGACGAACCAUGAUGUCAUUUAUUUGGUGUUGUGGGGAAUCAGGACUGUUACUUUGAAAAAUUAGAGUGUUUAAAGCAGGCUCACGCUUGAAUACAUUAGCAUGGAAUAAUGAGAUAGGACGAGCGAUCCUAUUUUGUUGGUUUCUAGGAUUGACGUAAUGAUUAAUAGGGAUAGUUGGGGGUAUUAGUAUUCAAUUGUCAGAGGUGAAAUUCUUGGAUUUAUUGAAGACUGACUACUGCGAAAGCAUUUGCCAAGGAUGUUUUCAUUAAUCAAGAACGAAAGUUAGGGGGAUCGAAGCGAUCAGAUACCGUCGUAGUCUUAACCAUAAACUAUGCCGACUAGGGAUCGGAUGAUGUUAAUUUUUUAAUGACUCAUUCGGCGCCUUACG